Molecule: long non-coding RNA, 1351 nt
Organism: Bombus pascuorum
Lineage: Eukaryota; Metazoa; Arthropoda; Insecta; Hymenoptera; Apidae
Exons: 3
Source: RefSeq, a predicted model, not a curated record
AUGUGAAAUUGAUAAGUUUAUAAGAAGUGAAGCUAACCAAUUUUGCUUCUAAAAGGCUCAAGUGACCCUUGGAUUUUCAGAUUUUUCUGUAAACGUAUAUUUUGUAGAUUAAUUACGUUUCAGAACAAUUUAACGAUUCAAAUAAGGAUGUGAAAGAAUCUAUUGACCUGGCUGUUUCUUUAUUUUCAACUUAUAUCCCUAGGUCUAUGCUAUUUUAGAGUGGCACGUGAAGAAAGCGAGUAGUAAUAUUGGAAGCAACGAAAUCGGGCAACGAGUCCGAUUCGCAAGAAUUCUAAUAGCGUUCGAAGGUCGACCGAAAGCGGAAAAGUAGUUCGCCUAACGAUCGAUGGCGAGCUUUCCCGAUAAAAAGACAACGAACGGACGAUCCGCCGUUUACUUACGCAAGAUGGUUGCUAUUGUCUUUCAUAGAUCAUCAAUUGUUUAUUUUUUAACGAUCAUCAAGAAUACCAAGGCUUCUAAUGUGUUCUAACGAAUAUCUAAAUUAUUCAAUUCCUAACUCGAAGAAUCUAAACUCCAGGAGAGUAUCAGAAAAGUCCUAAAUUUCGAAAAUAAAUUUCAAACAUCAUUGACCAAAGAAACUUUCAAACUAAAUUAUUCGGAAAACCGAAGCAUUCCCGGAAGUUUCGAAACAAACUAUCAAGAAUCGAGACAACGAUUUUCCAUUUUCCGAUCGGUAUUUCCCUGAGUCGUCACCGACGCGGGAACCGAACCGGAGGCGACACUUCCGGGAGAUCAGCUUGUCGCUGGGAGGAGUGCCAGUACGAGCUUGAAGGGAUGAGAGAAAAGACGAAGAAGGAGGGCAAAGACCGUGUCGAGAAGGAGGUCACCCGGAUUUCGAGCGGUCUUCUCUCUACUCACCAGAAAGCGAACCGUAUCUCAAGGUAGCCCAUCAUUUUUCGUGGGAGGAGUUUUUGGCACGGCUGCCACCCCUUUUCCCUCCCGAGUUCCACCGAGUAAUCGAUCGAUCCGCCAAGACUAUGCUUUUACCACCUUCCCGAUAGACGCCAUCAAGAAAAACGCGCGAUUACUCCGAUCGUUUUUCGCUUCUUUAAAAACUUUCCAGCUCGCUGAUCUCUGCAUAGCUUUCAACGAUAUUAUUCCACUACCAAAACUGUAUUCCAGAUUGGUUGAAACCAGAAAUGAUAAUAUGAAUUUGCAUUUGAUCGUCGAGUACAGUAUGUGAAUUUCUUAUUCAAAUACAAUUUUAAAGCGUCUGAAUAUGUAGUCUACAAUUAUGAUCAAAAGAGAGUUUACAGUGUGAAAUAGAAGAAACGCUGUGAUUUUACGAAACUGAAUUAUGAUUGGCGAGAGAAUUGAAUAUAUAAUAUAA